Molecule: ribosomal RNA, 620 nt
Filed under: Trichoderma harzianum
Lineage: Eukaryota; Fungi; Ascomycota; Sordariomycetes; Hypocreales; Hypocreaceae
Description: eukaryotic LSU rRNA
Rfam family: 5.8S ribosomal RNA (bases 233-385)
Source: RNAcentral
UUCCGUUGGUGAACCAGCGGAGGGAUCAUUACCGAGUUUACAACUCCCAAACCCAAUGUGAACGUUACCAAACUGUUGCCUCGGCGGGAUCUCUGCCCCGGGUGCGUCGCAGCCCCGGACCAAGGCGCCCGCCGGAGGACCAACCAAAACUCUUAUUGUAUACCCCCUCGCGGGUUUUUUUAUAAUCUGAGCCUUCUCGGCGCCUCUCGUAGGCGUUUCGAAAAUGAAUCAAAACUUUCAACAACGGAUCUCUUGGUUCUGGCAUCGAUGAGAACGCAGCGAAAUGCGAUAAGUAAUGUGAAUUGCAGAAUUCAGUGAAUCAUCGAAUCUUUGAACGCACAUUGCGCCCGCCAGUAUUCUGGCGGGCAUGCCUGUCCGAGCGUCAUUUCAACCCUCGAACCCCUCCGGGGGGUCGGCGUUGGGGAUCGGCCCUGCCUUGGCGGUGGCCGUCUCCGAAAUACAGUGGCGGUCUCGCCGCAGCCUCUCCUGCGCAGUAGUUUGCACACUCGCAUCGGGAGCGCGGCGCGUCCACAGCCGUUAAACACCCAACUUCUGAAAUGUUGACCUCGGAUCAGGUAGGAAUACCCGCUGAACUUAAGCAUAUCAAUAAGCGGAAGGAA